GGUUUGCAUUUUUACAUGGGUUCCAACUGGCGAGGGCCGAAACCCUAAUCAACUAUUAUAAAAAUGCCGACGGCGGCAAUGCCACCGCCAUUUUAGGGGAUUCAUCCUAACCAAGUUACUGCUUACAGCAUCAUGGGAUACUUCAUUUUUGGUCAUCCAUUUUACACAAAACUGUUGUAUCAGUAAUUGGAAUUAACAUUUUCCAUGUGCUUUGGAAAUAUCGAUCACUUUGUCAAUUAUAAUGGAGAUCCUGCAUAGAAAUGUAUAUGUCGAGGCGUUGGAUGGCAGUGUUCUGAAGGCACCUUUGUCGAUAGGCAAAGUGAUCAAUAAACUAUUUUAAAGAAUCUGAUGCAAGGAACUUGAGGUAAUAGUCCAGAUCGGAGAAAGACUGGAAAGCGCUCAUCUUUGCAUCAUAGAUGCACAAAGAAGCCCAAGCUCAGAUUUUGGACAUGGGUCCAGUCUGAAAAGCCUGGGCAUAGUGAUCCCGAUGCCUGGUCCAGGCCAGAUUUCAAAGCCUGUUCAGGUUGAAAUUUUUGGUGGCAGUAAAGCCUGGAAAAGCCUGACCAAGCCCUUUUUCAACCCCAAAUCCUGACCCAAUCCGGAAAAAACUGGGUCAUUUUUCUCUCCGAAAACAGGCUUGGAAGGCCUGAGCCCAGGCCUUGGCAUCUCUACUCUGCAUCAUGUAAAAGAGAAAGUAACAUGAUAUGCAUCAAAAGGGAGCUCUGAAAGAGGCAUGGCAUUCAAUAUACAUAGCGUUUUUUUUACCUCGAGAAGCUGAGGUUUCAGGUUUUUGCGGCAUUCUAGUUUUUUGUGUGCGUGUUUUGAAACCUUAUUUUGUUGGCAAAACUUUGAAAUGAAGGCAAACUAUGUUUGCCGAUGGAGCAUAUUACAUUGUUGAUUCUUCUACAUUGUUUGAAGCGAACUCGCACCAAAUAUAUCGUACCAAACAUGGGACAGUGUUUUUUGA
Cynara cardunculus var. scolymus (artichoke) is the source of this 967-nucleotide long non-coding RNA. RefSeq lists it as uncharacterized. Lineage: Eukaryota; Viridiplantae; Streptophyta; Magnoliopsida; Asterales; Asteraceae. The transcript is spliced from 3 exons. The record is from RefSeq and is a predicted model, not a curated record.